RNAcentral lists this ribosomal RNA (450 nucleotides) under uncultured bacterium. RNAcentral describes it as "bacterial SSU rRNA". It matches the Rfam family "Bacterial small subunit ribosomal RNA", at positions 28 to 469 of the family's 1533-position model. The record is from RNAcentral.
GAUGAACGCUAGCUACAGGCUUAACACAUGCAAGUCGAGGGGCAGCAUUCCGCUAGCAAUAGUGGAGAUGGCGACCGGCGCACGGGUGAGUAACGCGUAUCCAACCUGCCUUAUACUCUUGGAUAGCCUUCUGAAAGGGAGAUUAAUACAAGAUAGUAUCAUGAGUGAGCAUUCUCGCAUGAUUAAAGGUUUACCGGUAUAAGAUGGGGAUGCGUUCCAUUAGAUAGUAGGCGGGGUAACGGCCCACCUAGUCUUCGAUGGAUAGGGGUUCUGAGAGGAAGGUCCCCCACAUUGGAACUGAGACACGGUCCAAACUCCUACGGGAGGCAGCAGUGAGGAAUAUUGGUCAAUGGGCGGUAGCCUGAACCAGCCAAGUAGCGUGAAGGAUGAAGGUUCUAUGGAUUGUAAACUUCUUUUAUAAAGGAAUAAAGUGAGGCACGUGUGCCUUUU